Tachysurus fulvidraco (yellow catfish) is the source of this 2022-nucleotide long non-coding RNA. RefSeq lists it as uncharacterized. The transcript has 2 exons. NCBI's taxonomy places the organism in Eukaryota, Metazoa, Chordata, Actinopteri, Siluriformes, Bagridae. The record is from RefSeq and is a predicted model, not a curated record.
UUAUAUAGCACAAGGAAAGAAAACAAUGUACUUUGUAAAAAGUUAGUUUACAUUGGUGUGACGUCACUUAGAGGCGCUGUUACGUCUGACUCUCAGUUCUACAUGUGACUGAAGAGAGUCAGGUUGGUUUUGUUGCAUCUCUGUACAACGAGUAAUACAAAUAUAAAAAUAGUUAAAAAUAUUAGUUGAUAUUAAAGUUAGAAGUGUUAGAAAGAUGGAUUGAGUUUAUAUUUUUGAUUUUCUAUGAGAAGUUAGAUGCAUUUCAAGUUUUAGAAAUGAACGGCCUUAAUUUGUUUGUUUAAUGUUGCCGCCCGCAUGGAAAUUUAGAGUGCGAGGUUUUUCCUUUUAAUAUUCGUUUUAAAUUACAAAGUUUUGGUGGAUUGUGUCUGUAGAUAUGUUAUGUUGUUUAUUUUACUUUAAUUGGGUGUUUUGUAAAUUUUAUUUAAGUCGUGUAUUUUGUAUAUUUAGCCAACUGAGACCCAGAAUUUAAGUAUGCAGUUACUGUGUUAAUGGAGGACAGGGAUUAAUCUGUUUGUCUCACAUCCUUCAGACAGACUGUUGGUGAGAGGAUGUGUGUGUGAUCCCGUGUCUUUUGUUUAAUAAACUGCAGGUAUGUAAACCACAAACCACUAUACGAUCACAUAAUUGAGUGAAAUUGGCUAAAUAAGUGAUUGACUUUUGUGAUUGACUUUUAAAUAAGUGAUUGAAGAGAAUUGGCUGAUAAGUGUGUUUCAUGUAUAAUGUAAAGGAAAAGUGUACAUGUUGAGUUAAUUUUAUUUUCUAUAAUUUUUAUGUAUAUUUGUGUAAGAAAUGUAAGAGACUAUCAGAUGGACUUUAUUCAGGACUCUCAGUUCUACAUGUGACUGAAGAGAGUCAGACAGACUGUUGGUGAGAGGAUGUGUGUGUGAUCCCGUGUCUUUUGUUUAAUAAACUGCAGACGUGAUUCACCAAAGAGCCUGGAGUUGGUGUGUCAUUUGUGGUGCUGGGUGAUUCCCACCUCCACCUUGUGUGUGUGGAGUUCGCAUGUUCUCCCCGUGCCUCGGGGGUUUCCUCGGGGUACUCCGGUUUCCUCCCCCGGUCCAAAGACAUGCAUGCAUCAAUCAAUACCAAGGUGUCCAGAGAGCAAUCCCGUGAGACCUAAAAACCAGGACAUCUCUGCAGUGUUGUCUCCAACUCUACAUUAUAAUGAGAACUCUCUCCACUUCCUUCCAUCCAUCCAUCCAUCCAUCCAGAGGUUUUCAUGCACUAUCCAUCCAUCCAUUUCUGAACACAGGAUCAUGGAGCAUUGGAGUCUAUCUCAGAGGAGUCAGGACAGAAGGUCCCCAUAGACCCAACCGAUCACAGGACAUGAACACAUUAUUUACUGUCCAGUGUCACCCUGUCCAGGAUGAGGUUCCCUACUUCCUCUCAAGGUUUCUUCCUCAUAUAAUCUCAGGGAGUUUUACCUGUCACCGUCGCCUCCGGCUUGCUCAUUAGGGAUAGAUGUUAGGGAUAAAUAGUAACUUAAUUUUAAACUUUACAUUUUUUUUAUUCAGUUUCUACACUUCUGUAAAGCUGCUUUGAGACAAUGUGAAUAGUUCAAAUCACUAUGAAAAUAAAUUGAAUUGAACACACACACACACACACACACACACACAUCUAUUCACACACUACAGACAGCAUAGAGAUACCACUCAGCCUGUAGCACAUGCCUUUGGACCGAGGAGGAAACUAAAGAACCCAGAGGCGCAUGGAGAACUUGCAAACAUUUUAUCCUCCUAUGAAAUCUCUCAAAAAAAUAGCAAAACGAGUAGUCAUCUUUUCCCCAAUUAAAAUGACAGAUGAGCCAAAUGACAUGUGAACCUACCAUAGGUUGACAACUGACAACCUGGAAGCCCCUCCCACUUCCCCUCGAUCUCACCUUGUAAUCUCUCGCCUCAAUAUUCCUCCUUAAAUGUGUUUUAAUGUGGCGUCCUCACUUUCUGUCAAGGUUAAUGGAGAAUGCGUUGAGUACAUUAAUAUCAAAUAAAACCUAGAACUGUU